This is a long non-coding RNA of Ananas comosus (pineapple), 337 nucleotides long. RefSeq lists it as uncharacterized. The record is from RefSeq and is a predicted model, not a curated record. The transcript is spliced from 2 exons. NCBI's taxonomy places the organism in Eukaryota, Viridiplantae, Streptophyta, Magnoliopsida, Poales, Bromeliaceae.
AAGAUAUUUACUCCGUGACGCUAAAUGGCUUAAGUCGAGGGGCGUUAUGGUAAUUUCAGCAUGCUUAGUGGAUUUCCACUAAACCCCCUGCCAGGCUCCUCUUCAUCCUUAUCCCCUGCCACUCCUCCCCUCUGCAGCAUCAUACGUAGAGAGAGAGAGAUGGAGAAAAGAAGAGAAAAGAGAAGAAAAAGAAGAAGAAGAAGCAGAUGAAGAAGGAAAAAAAAAAGAAAGAAAGCAAGAUAGAAGUCCGAACACGAAAUUGACUACGUACAAACCAAAUUGGGGGUAAAAGAAACUCGCUGGCGAAGUCGGUUCGGCAAUCCGACGCUCCUACGCG